Long non-coding RNA from Mandrillus leucophaeus (drill), 517 nucleotides. RefSeq lists it as uncharacterized. Lineage: Eukaryota; Metazoa; Chordata; Mammalia; Primates; Cercopithecidae. The transcript is spliced from 3 exons. The record is from RefSeq and is a predicted model, not a curated record.
AGCGAUUUUUUAAGAGCCUCGGAAAUUUCCUUUAAGGUCAGGAGAGAAGCUGGUAACAGAUGGGGCGAAGGAGGAAAAGUUCUUUUUGCAGCACCCUCGCGCCUCCCCAGCCCUUUCGCGGUUUACUCGCUCCCUGGAAAUCAGGGCAUUCAAGCAGCCCUGAGGAGAGAUCCACAUGGUGAGCCACUGAGGGCCUUGCCAAGAGCCAGCACCAACAUGCCAGGUUUAGAGUGUACCACCUUGGAAGUGAAUCUUCCGUCCAGUCAAGCCUUCAGAUGACUUCGGAACCAUCCAUGUAAACCUCUCUUGGAUUUCUGACCCACAGAAACUGUUGGAGUAAGUGAUAUUUCUGAAGCACCAAUGAAAAUGAAGUCCUGAAGUCCUGUGCUCAAUAUGAAAUGUUGGAAGUUAGAAAGAAAAAAACAAAACGUGGAUCCAAUCUCAAGGCACUUUUAGUUUAAUGGGAAGAAGUGGAUUAUUUUAAAAGCUACAAAUAAAGUUACAUAGAAGUAGCAAA